RNAcentral lists this ribosomal RNA (255 nucleotides) under uncultured bacterium. Its description in RNAcentral is "partial 16S ribosomal RNA". It matches the Rfam family "Bacterial small subunit ribosomal RNA", at positions 113 to 354 of the family's 1533-position model. The record is from RNAcentral.
CGACGUGGAGAACCUGCCGUAUACUGGGGGAUAACACUUAGAAAUAGGUGCUAAUACCGCAUAAGCGCACAGCUUCGCAUGAAGCAGUGUGGAAAACAAAAAGCUAAAGCUUUUGGUGGUAUACGAUGGAUCCGCGUCUGAUUAGCUUGUUGGCGGGGUAAAGGCCCACCAAGGCGACGAUCAGUAGCCGGCCUGAGAGGGUGAACGGCCACAUUGGGACUGAGACACGGCCCAAACUCCUACGGGAGGCAGCAG